UAAGCAUAUCAAUAAGCGGAGGAAAAGAAACCAACUGGGAUUGCCCUAGUAACGGCGAGUGAAGCGGCAACAGCUCAAAUUUGAAAUCUGGCCCUCUUCGGGGGUCCGAGUUGUAAUUUGCAGAGGGCGCUUUGGCGUCGGUAGCGGUCUAAGUUCCUUGGAACAGGACGUCACAGAGGGUGAGAAUCCCGUAUGUGAUCGCCUACCUUCGUCGUGUAAAGCCCCUUCGACGAGUCGAGUUGUUUGGGAAUGCAGCUCUAAAUGGGAGGUAAAUUUCUUCUAAAGCUAAAUACCGGCCAGAGACCGAUAGCGCACAAGUAGAGUGAUCGAAAGAUGAAAAGCACUUUGGAAAGAGAGUCAAAUAGCACGUGAAAUUGUUGAAAGGGAAGCGCUUGCAGUCAGACUUGCCCGCAGUUGCUCACCCCGGCUCUUGCCUGGGGCACUCUUCUGCGGGCAGGCCAGCAUCAGUUUGGGCGACCGGAUAAAGGCCUCUGUCAUGUAUCUUCCUUAGGGAUGACCUUAUAGGGGAGGUGUAAUGCGGCCAGCCCGGACUGAGGUCCGCGCUUUUGCUAGGAUGCUGGCGUAAUGGCUGUAAGCGGCCCGUCUUGAAACACGGACCAAGGAGUCUAACAUCUAUGCGAGUGUUUGGGUGUCAAGCCCGGGCGCGCAAUGAAAGUGAACGGAGGUGGGAACCCUCGGGUGCACCAUCGACCGAUCCUGAUGUCUUCGGAUGGAUUUGAGUAAGAGCAUAGCUGUUGGGACCCGAAAGAUGGUGAACUAUGCUUGAAUAGGGUGAAGCCAGAGGAAACUCUGGUGGAGGCUCGCAGCGGUUCUGACGUGCAAAUCGAUCGUCAAAUUUGGGCA
This 864-nucleotide ribosomal RNA is filed under the name Neosulcatispora sp. CP-2020a. RNAcentral's name for it is "partial large subunit ribosomal RNA". It matches the Rfam family "Eukaryotic large subunit ribosomal RNA", at positions 35 to 917 of the family's 3401-position model. Lineage: Eukaryota; Fungi; Ascomycota; Dothideomycetes; Pleosporales; Phaeosphaeriaceae. The record is from RNAcentral.